GCUGAAGUGGCGGAAUUGGUAGACGCGCUAGGUUCAGGACCUAGUCCGCCGAUUGGUGGGUAGGGGUUCAAGUCCCCUCUUCAGCACCA
RNAcentral lists this transfer RNA (89 nucleotides) under Candidatus Cloacimonadota bacterium. RNAcentral describes it as "Candidatus Cloacimonetes bacterium (marine metagenome) tRNA-Leu". It matches the Rfam family "tRNA". Rfam says of the family: Transfer RNA (tRNA) molecules are approximately 80 nucleotides in length. Their secondary structure includes four short double-helical elements and three loops (D, anti-codon, and T loops). The record is from RNAcentral. Lineage: Bacteria; Pseudomonadati; Candidatus Cloacimonadota.